GGAGUUGUGGCUCAGCGGUAGAGUGCUCACGCAUUCGAGGCCCUGGGUUCGAUCCUCAGCACCA
RNAcentral lists this transfer RNA (64 nucleotides) under Marmota monax (woodchuck). RNAcentral describes it as "tRNA.Undet". The record is from RNAcentral. Lineage: Eukaryota; Metazoa; Chordata; Mammalia; Rodentia; Sciuridae.